CUGCACUGAUGAUUGUAGAUGAGUCUGACCUGGAAUUGUCAGCCUCCGGGUCGCCUCUGUCCAGGAAAUGACUGCAGUUAAUCUUCUCUCUGAGCAG
Molecule: small nucleolar RNA, 97 nt
Organism: Acanthochromis polyacanthus (spiny chromis)
Lineage: Eukaryota; Metazoa; Chordata; Actinopteri; Pomacentridae
Source: Ensembl